RNAcentral lists this long non-coding RNA (353 nucleotides) under Lactuca sativa (garden lettuce). Its description in RNAcentral is "long non-coding RNA (LSAT_LNC006009)". Lineage: Eukaryota; Viridiplantae; Streptophyta; Magnoliopsida; Asterales; Asteraceae. The record is from RNAcentral.
CUUCAUUGACUUUGACAAAGUCAAACCCCUCAUCACUUCAGACUCCAAUUCCAGACCUGAUCAUUUAUAGACUUAGAUUAAUCUUAGCUAUGAAUAGUAAUUGCUACGACUGAGUCCAGUAAGAAGGGUAUGUUCUUUACCAUUUGUGGGGAUUUGCUUGAAGGUAGGUGAUGGAGUGAAAGUGUUUGUUCUUUCCAUUUCAGAUAAAAGGAGGAACUGCUCAUACUGUGCUUCCAUGGUCAAAGUGUCUUCAUCGGCUUCAAUGGAAUCAGGGAGGAGAUCAGUGAAAUCGAAGUCAUCCACUGUGUUAGCAAAGAAACCAUCUUCUCCCUGUUGCUGGCUAAGCCAGUAGU